This 397-nucleotide ribosomal RNA is filed under the name uncultured bacterium. Its description in RNAcentral is "bacterial SSU rRNA". It matches the Rfam family "Bacterial small subunit ribosomal RNA", at positions 362 to 776 of the family's 1533-position model. The record is from RNAcentral.
UAUUGCACAAUGGGGGAAACCCUGAUGCAGCAACGCCGCGUGAGUGAAGAAGUCUUUCGGUAUGUAAAGCUCUAUCAGCAGGGCAGAAAAUGACGGUACCUGCGUAAGAAGCCCCGGCUAACUACGCGCCAGCAGCCGCCGUAAUACGUAGGGGGCAAGCGUUAUCCGGCUUUACUGGGUGUAAAGGGAGCGUAGACGGCGAUGCAAGUCUGAAGUGAAAGCCCGGGGCUCAACCCCGGGACUGCUUUGGAAACUGUAUGGCUGGAGUGCUGGAGAGGCAAGCGGAAUUCCUAGUGUAGCGGUGAAAUGCGUAGAUAUUAGGAAGAACACCAGUGGCGAAGGCGGCUUGCUGGACAGUAACUGACGUUGAGGCUCGAAAGCGUGGGGAGCAAACAGG